Molecule: RNA transcript, 1899 nt
Organism: Arachis duranensis
Lineage: Eukaryota; Viridiplantae; Streptophyta; Magnoliopsida; Fabales; Fabaceae
Gene name: protein FLX-like 3
Exons: 5
Source: RefSeq, a predicted model, not a curated record
CUCUCUCUCUCUCAUAUUGAAAUCCGAUUUCAUUCAUCUUUUCUUUCUAUCAUUCAUUUUCCUAAUUUCUGUUUACGUCAGCAGCGCUUCAUUCAUGAUUCUAAAUGAAAUAUAUGAUAUCAUAUGUGUUUGUGAGAUUAUUAUAGGUUGUUAGGUAGAUAAGGUAGGCUUACUUCAAAUGUCAUCAAGGCACCGCGUUCAUCACCGGGAACCCUUGAGUUCCCGCCGGGGUUACCCUUCCGACGCCCCUUAUACCCGCCCGCCUCCUCCCAUUCCCCGCCCAGCCAUCCCGCCGCCGCAUCCCGCCGCCCUCCUCGAAGAAGAACUCGAAUUGCAGCACGCCGAGAUGCGUAGGGUUGUGGCCGACAACCGCAGGCUCAUUGAGGACCGUGUGGUAUUGCAGCGUGACCUUGCUGCUGCCAAGGAGGAACUUCACCGUAUGAACCUUGCCAUUGGUGAUAUUCGUGCUGAGCAUGAGUUGCAUUCCAGGGAGCUCAUUGACAAAGGAAGGAAGAUGGAGUCUGAUCUCAGGGCUGCCGAGCCCCUGAAGAGUGAGGUUGCGCAGCUGCGAGCCGAGGUUCAGAAACUUAACACUCUUAAGCAAGAACUUACAGGGAAGGUUCAGACGCUUAAUCAGGAUGUUGCAAGGUUACAAGCUGAUAAUAAACAGAUUCCCAUGUUGAAGUCCGAGAUUGAUGGCCUACGCCAGGAGCUAAUGCGUGCAAGAACCAUGGUGGAUUAUGAAAAGAAGGCAAACAUAGAGUUCAUGGAACAAAGGCAAUCAAUGGAGAAAAACUUGGUUUCCAUGGCUCGGGAAGUGGAGAAGCUACGUGCAGAGCUUGCUAGUGUUGAUGGCAGACAGUGGGGUGCUGGCGGGCCUUAUGGAACACAGUUUGGUAGCCCCAAAGGGGGUUAUCCCGCUCUGUAUGCAGAUGGAUAUGGACCAUAUGGCGUUCACCUGGGUGCUGUGGAGAAAGGUCCUCUGUAUGGGGCAGGUGCUACUUCAAGGAAAGGACCUGAGAAGUCUCGCACUAAUCGCCGUUGAAAUUCUAAGUGAUCGCUGUUGGUGAAGAAGUGAGGCUUGCCAUCACUUUAGCCCGUGUUAACACCAUGGCUGUGAUUGAGUUUGGCAUCCUUCUAUCUGUGCAUGCCUCAUCAAUGCUUAUUUUCUGGUUACAAUUGAUGAGAGGCUGGGAAUUUUGUAGGGGACUCUGAAAUGAGGAAAACUUUUCACGUCUUUUGGCCUAAAUGUUGCAAGAUUUUGAGGAACAACAAUAUAUUCUUGAUUGAUUUUGAAAUGCAAAUGGGAUGUAUUUUCCCAUUAUGGGCUAAAGACUGUUCAAUCAAGAGGAUAUACUUAGAUAGCUUGUUGCGUCAAGGUAAACUAUAUAUUCUGAUAUUAGAUAUGAAGCUUCGGUGGUAGCCACGGAUUGUUUCGACUUACAAAUGGUAAUGCUGAAAGUUGUGACACAAUUUUUGUCUGGUAGAUGGAUCAUGAAUGAUUGCUUCAGAUGUUGCUAAAUGUGGUUUCUGGAGGAAGGGAUGUCUCAGUUUAGAUAUUUUUCAACACAUGCCUCAAAUUCAGGUUGAUGCAGACUACUUCACACCACCAAUAUUUGAAGCUAGGCCAAUGAAGCCUGCCUUAAGGUCGUUGCUAUAUAAUCAGAUUUAGCUUGAAAUCUGUUUGAUAGUCAUUUCAACGCUUCUCCGCACACAUUUUCAUGAUCAUGUGUUAUACAUGACAAAGAACUUUACCUAUUAUCAUUUGAUUAUUCAUUAUUCCAUCGAGAUUUUUCAUAUAACCGCCACCGUUCCGUAACCGUGUGUUCCAUGCAUUGUACUUCCCUGGACUCAAAUAUGUUUCACAGAUUCGAUUUAGUGUACCUUUUGCUGCUGUUA